Molecule: long non-coding RNA, 1636 nt
Organism: Oryctolagus cuniculus (rabbit)
Lineage: Eukaryota; Metazoa; Chordata; Mammalia; Lagomorpha; Leporidae
Source: Ensembl
UUUGAUAUAUUUGGUGAUGUAGUUGUAAUACCUUGAGAUGUGAGUCUUUAUUAAGGAAGGUUUCUUUUGGUUUCAUUGAUAACUAUUCCUGUGAAUGACAUAUGCCAUUGAAUCACUAAAUUUGGAUCCUGGGGUCCCCUUCAAAAGACUAUCUAGUGGUUACAAAUGGUCAUGGAAUCUCCAUUCUAGCCUUUGGUGCAGAGGUCUGUUGUAAAGUGAUCUUUCUUUGGCUUUAGUGACUGUCACUACCUCAUUUCGCACAUGGAGCCGCACGCAUUCUGAGUACACACUGAGCUGAAAAGAGAUUCCAGCAAAGAGGAUUAUAUUUCUCCUUAGCAUGUUUUCAGAGCAGUCAAAUCCUUUCCUUCUCACAGAUGGAGAACCCAGGAGGCUUCUUGCUGAUGGGUUUUAUGAUUGAUAAGACUAAUGUCUCACUCAUUCCCUCUUAUUAUUUUCAAGGAUGGGAGCAGGUUCAAGGAGCAAGUUAAAAAAUCACAUAAAUCCUCCAGCAAGAAAUCUGUCUUCUCCUUUAAUAUUUUUUUUUCUUCUGGUUGUUACUUCCCUACCAAUUCUUUUUGCUCCAGGUUUCUUGGAAGAUUAACCGCUCUCACUUUUACAUACCAGGGAGAAAUUUAACCAAAGAUAUGAGAUGCUAUUUAGUACUCUUGCAAAGACAUGAACAUUUUUCUUGAAAUACAGUGGACAUAAAAAAUUCUGGAGGGUAAGUAGACUUGUAGACUCAAACUACAUCUGAAUGGCAUCCACUCAUUCAACAAAUAUUUACCAGUAUCUCCUGUAUAGUAGGCACUGGAAAUACAAGAUACAAAAAUUUUUGCCCUAAUCAUAAUGAACUUUCAGUAGAAAGCAUUAAAACUUUUAAGAGAUGAUUUUAGUAUGGUGCAUCAGAGAACCAAAUAGUUACUUCUAUGCUGGUACAGCUGAAGGCUUCCAAAACAUGGGAAGGAAGGUUUGCCUCAAAUGGAGCUGAGUAAUUUCUAUUUAUACUCCAUCAAAAUCCAUACCCUCCACAACUAUCUGUGCUUUUAUUUUCAUUUCUACUACUUAAAUGACUUCCUCAAAGUCAACAAUGACCCACAUUUUGUCAACUCCAGCAGUUAUUUUUAUUUUUGUAGUAUUCAACCUAUCAUCAAAAUUUGACAUAGUUUUUCACACCCUUUUAGAAAAAAAAAAAAAAACCUUCUCUUGAUAGCUCAGCUACAUCACUAUCUUGAUUUUUUUUCCACAUGCCUGAAGAAUCUCUUCCUCAGCCUCCUUUACGGAGUGCUCUGCUUGACCCAGAGGCAGAUAUGCCAUGGAGCUGAUGAAGCUUAAACUUCAGACCACUCCACCACACAGACUUCAUCAAAGACCCUGGGCAAAAGGGCUGACAUGGUCAUGAGUUUCUGCAAAACUUGCAAGACAAAUAUUUUAACCCAAGGGUUGAGACAGUAGUCUCUUUUCAUUCAACUCCACUAUCCUGUUUCCCAUCUUGUUCAGUGUUAUUGCAUUGUACUUGGUCAUUGUGGGAGUCUGGUGAAAGGGCAUUUGGGCUAAGGAUGGUUACCCUGGAUUUUAGUGAGUUUUAGUUAUGGCUCACUGUCGUGUUAAGUUAGCGAAGUUAUUGUCAGACAUCCCC